This 469-nucleotide ribosomal RNA is filed under the name uncultured Geobacter sp. Its description in RNAcentral is "bacterial SSU rRNA". It matches the Rfam family "Bacterial small subunit ribosomal RNA", at positions 336 to 796 of the family's 1533-position model. Lineage: Bacteria; Pseudomonadati; Thermodesulfobacteriota; Desulfuromonadia; Geobacterales; Geobacteraceae. The record is from RNAcentral.
UUCCUACGGGGGGCUGCAGUGGGGAAUUUUGCGCAAUGGGGGCAACCCUGACGCAGCAACGCCGCGUGAGUGAUGAAGGCUUUCGGGUCGUAAAGCUCUGUCGGGAGGGAAGAAAUGAGUAGCGGUUAAUACCCGUUAUUCUUGACGGUACCUCCGAAGGAAGCACCGGCUAACUCCGUGCCAGCAGCCGCGGUAAUACGGAGGGUGCAAGCGUUGUUCGGAUUUAUUGGGCGUAAAGCGCGUGUAGGCGGGUUGUGAAGUCUGAUGUGAAAGCCCCGGGCUCAACCUGGGAAGUGCAUUGGAAACUGGCAGACUUGAAUACGGGAGAGGGUAGUGGAAUUCCUAGUGUAGGAGUGAAAUCCGUAGAUAUUAGGAGGAACACCGGUGGCGAAGGCGGCUACCUGGACCGAUAUUGACGCUGAGACGCGAAAGCGUGGGGAGCAAACAGGAUUAGAUACCCGGGUAGUCC